RNAcentral lists this ribosomal RNA (426 nucleotides) under uncultured bacterium. RNAcentral describes it as "bacterial SSU rRNA". It matches the Rfam family "Bacterial small subunit ribosomal RNA", at positions 34 to 507 of the family's 1533-position model. The record is from RNAcentral.
CGCUGGCGGCAUGCCUAACACAUGCAAGUCGAACGAGACCUUCGGGUCUAGUGGCGCACGGGUGCGUAACGCGUGGGAACCUGCCUUUAGGUUCGGAAUAACUCAGAGAAAUUUGAGCUAAUACCGGAUAAUGUCUUCGGACCAAAGAUUUAUCGCCUUUAGAUGGGCCCGCGUAAGAUUAGCUAGUUGGUGGGGUAAAGGCCUACCAAGGCGACGAUCUUUAGCUGGUCUGAGAGGAUGAUCAGCCACACUGGGACUGAGACACGGCCCAGACUCCUACGGGAGGCAGCAGUGGGAAUAUUGGACAAUGGGCGAAAGCCUGAUCCAGCAAUGCCGCGUGAGUGAUGAAGGCCUUAGGGUUGUAAAGCUCUUUUACCCGAGAUGAUAAUGACAGUAUCGGGAGAAUAAGCUCCGGCUAACUCCGUG